Molecule: non-coding RNA, 57 nt
Organism: Salmo salar (Atlantic salmon)
Lineage: Eukaryota; Metazoa; Chordata; Actinopteri; Salmoniformes; Salmonidae
Source: Rfam
UCUUAAGAUGAAUGCACUAAGUCGCUCUGGAUAAGAGCGUCUGCUAAAUGACUAAAA